Molecule: ribosomal RNA, 550 nt
Filed under: uncultured bacterium
Lineage: Bacteria
Description: bacterial SSU rRNA
Rfam family: Bacterial small subunit ribosomal RNA
Source: RNAcentral
UAGGGANUCUUCCACAAUGGACGCAAGUCUGAUGGAGCAACGCCGCGUGAGUGAAGAAGGGUUUCGGCUCGUAAAGCUCUGUUGGUAGUGAAGAAAGAUAGAGGUAGUAACUGGCCUUUAUUUGACGGUAAUUACUUAGAAAGUCACGGCUAACUACGUGCCAGCAGCCGCGGUAAUACGUAGGUGGCAAGCGUUGUCCGGAUUUAUUGGGCGUAAAGCGAGUGCAGGCGGUUCAAUAAGUCUGAUGUGAAAGCCUUCGGCUCAACCGGAGAAUUGCAUCAGAAACUGUUGAACUUGAGUGCAGAAGAGGAGAGUGGAACUCCAUGUGUAGCGGUGGAAUGCGUAGAUAUAUGGAAGAACACCAGUGGCGAAGGCGGCUCUCUGGUCUGCAACUGACGCUGAGGCUCGAAAGCAUGGGUAGCGAACAGGAUUAGAUACCCUGGUAGUCCAUGCCGUAAACGAUGAGUGCUAAGUGUUGGGAGGUUUCCGCCUCUCAGUGCUGCAGCUAACGCAUUAAGCACUCCGCCUGGGGAGUACGACCGCAAGGUUG